Molecule: ribosomal RNA, 518 nt
Filed under: uncultured bacterium
Lineage: Bacteria
Description: bacterial SSU rRNA
Rfam family: Bacterial small subunit ribosomal RNA
Source: RNAcentral
AGUUUGAUCCUGGAAAGGGCGCGUAGGCGGCGUGACAAGUCACUUGUGAAAUCUCCGGGCUUAACUCGGAACGGUCAAGUGAUACUGUUGUGCUAGAGUAUAGAAGGGGCAAUCGGAAUUCUCGGUGUAGCGGUGAAAUGCGUAGAUAUCGAGAGGAACACCAGAGGCGAAGGCGGAUUGCUAGGCUAAUACUGACGCUGAGGCGCGAAAGCUAGGGUAGCAAACGGGAUUAGAUACCCCGGUAGUCCUAGCCCUAAACGAUGAAUACUUGGUGUCUGGAGUUUAAUUCUCUGGGUGCCGUCGCUAACGUUUUUAGUAUUCCGCCUGGGGAGUACGCACGCAAGUGUGAAACUCAAAGGAAUUGACGGGGACCCGCACAAGCGGUGGAGCAUGUGGUUUAAUUCGACGCAACGCGAAGAACCUUACCUGGACUAGAAUGUGAGGGAAGGUUACUUAAUCGUAACCGUCCGGGCAACCGGACCCGAAACAAGGUGCUGCAUGGCUGUCGUCAGCUCGUG